UACGGAAGAUGCGAGCGUUAUCCGGAUUUAUUGGGUUUAAAGGGUGCGCAGGCGGAGGUGCAAGUCAGCGGUCAAAUUGCGGGGCUCAACCCCGUACUGCCGUUGAAACUGGAGGCCUUGAGUGCACACAGGGAUGCCGGAAUUCAUGGUGUAGCGGUGAAAUGCUUAGAUAUCAUGAAGAACUCCGAUCGCGAAGGCAAGUGUCCGGGGUGCAACUGACGCUGAGGCUCGAAAGUGCGGGUAUCAAACAGG
This 252-nucleotide ribosomal RNA is filed under the name uncultured Prevotella sp. Its description in RNAcentral is "partial 16S ribosomal RNA". It matches the Rfam family "Bacterial small subunit ribosomal RNA", at positions 524 to 776 of the family's 1533-position model. Lineage: Bacteria; Pseudomonadati; Bacteroidota; Bacteroidia; Bacteroidales; Prevotellaceae. The record is from RNAcentral.